GCCCGGGUGGUGGAACCGGUAGACACGAGGGACUUAAAAUCCCUUGGCCCGCAAGGGCCGUGCGGGUUCAAGUCCCGCCCCGGGCA
RNAcentral lists this transfer RNA (86 nucleotides) under Flavobacteriales bacterium. Its description in RNAcentral is "tRNA-Leu". It matches the Rfam family "tRNA". Rfam says of the family: Transfer RNA (tRNA) molecules are approximately 80 nucleotides in length. Their secondary structure includes four short double-helical elements and three loops (D, anti-codon, and T loops). Further hydrogen bonds mediate the characteristic L-shaped molecular structure. tRNAs have two regions of fundamental functional importance: the anti-codon, which is responsible for specific mRNA codon recognition, and the 3' end, to which the tRNAs corresponding amino acid is attached (by aminoacyl-tRNA synthetases). tRNAs cope with the degeneracy of the genetic code in two manners: having more than one tRNA (with a specific anti-codon) for a particular amino acid; and 'wobble' base-pairing, i.e. permitting non-standard base-pairing at the 3rd anti-codon position. Lineage: Bacteria; Pseudomonadati; Bacteroidota; Flavobacteriia; Flavobacteriales. The record is from RNAcentral.